GUUUAGAAACACAGCUGUUAAUAAUGGAAAGUUUAAGGAACUGAUCCUUGAUAACUUUAGUGGGAAAUAUCUGCUGCUUUUCUUGUAUUUCACUCUUUCCUGACCUACAGAAAUUGCUGCCUUUAGUGACAAAGUAAUUCGCUUCAUGUUAUGAAUUGUGACACUGUUGCUGUUUCAACAUAUUUCCACUUAGACGUGAAUACACACCAAGAAAGAACAGUUUUGACCACAUGAACAUCAUACUCUUAAAAGAUUUAAACAAAUUUUACAAUGUUAUUAUGUGCUAUUAAAAGACCUAGUCCUACAUUAGAGAGUCACUUCAUAAUUAACCCAAAUGAAGUCAUCAAGCAAGAAGAUGAAUGAUCUUCCAAGAGGCUGAAGGGACAGGGGCACUAUAUCAUGUGAAAUCUCAUGGGAAAAUCUCCCUGCAAACUGAACACCAGAUUCUUUAUUUCCAAAGAAUAUUCUGAGAAAGAAAUCAAUAA
RNAcentral lists this long non-coding RNA (485 nucleotides) under Homo sapiens (human). RNAcentral's name for it is "non-protein coding lnc-HACD3-2:1". The record is from RNAcentral. Lineage: Eukaryota; Metazoa; Chordata; Mammalia; Primates; Hominidae.